GGGACACGUGGUAUCCUGUCUGAAUAUGGGGGGACCAUCCUCCAAGGCUAAAUACUCCUGACUGACCGAUAGUGAACCAGUACCGUGAGGGAAAGGCGAAAAGAACCCCGGCGAGGGGAGUGAAAAAGAACCUGAAACCGUGUACGUACAAGCAGUGGGAGCCUCUUUUAUGGGGUGACUGCGUACCUUUUGUAUAAUGGGUCAGCGACUUAUAUUCUGUAGCAAGGUUAACCGUAUAGGGGAGCCGAAGGGAAACCGAGUCUUAACUGGGCGUUAAGUUGCAGGGUAUAGACCCGAAACCCGGUGAUCUAGCCAUGGGCAGGUUGAAGGUUGGGUAACACUAACUGGAGGACCGAACCGACUAAUGUUGAAAAAUUAGCGGAUGACUUGUGGCUGGGGGUGAAAGGCCAAUCAAACCGGGAGAUAGCUGGUUCUCCCCGAAAGCU
Molecule: ribosomal RNA, 446 nt
Filed under: Enterobacter ludwigii
Lineage: Bacteria; Pseudomonadati; Pseudomonadota; Gammaproteobacteria; Enterobacterales; Enterobacteriaceae
Description: partial 23S ribosomal RNA
Rfam family: Bacterial large subunit ribosomal RNA
Source: RNAcentral